RNAcentral lists this ribosomal RNA (468 nucleotides) under uncultured bacterium. Its description in RNAcentral is "partial 16S ribosomal RNA". It matches the Rfam family "Bacterial small subunit ribosomal RNA", at positions 28 to 507 of the family's 1533-position model. The record is from RNAcentral.
GACGAACGCUGGCGGCGUGCUUAACACAUGCAAGUCGAACGGAAAGGCCCUGCUUUUGUGGGGUGCUCGAGUGGCGAACGGGUGAGUAACACGUGAGUAACCUGCCCUUGACUUUGGGAUAACUUCAGGAAACUGGGGCUAAUACCGGAUAGGAGCUCCUGCUGCAUGGUGGGGGUUGGAAAGUUUCGGCGGUUGGGGAUGGACUCGCGGCUUAUCAGCUUGUUGGUGGGGUAGUGGCUUACCAAGGCUUUGACGGGUAGCCGGCCUGAGAGGGUGACCGGCCACAUUGGGACUGAGAUACGGACCAGACUCCUACGGGAGGCAGCAGUGGGGAAUAUUGCACAAUGGGCGGAAGCCUGAUGCAGCAACGCCGCGUGCGGGAUGACGGCCUUCGGGUUGUAAACCUCUUUCGCCUGUGACGAAGCGUGAGUGACGGUAAUGGGUAAAGAAGCACCGGCUAACUACGUG